UGCAAGUCGAGCGGACAGAUGGGAGCUUGCUCCCUGAUGUUAGCGGCGGACGGGUGAGAAACACGUGGGUAACCUGCCUGUAAGACUGGGAUAACUCCGGGAAACCGGGGCUAAUACCGGAUGGUUGUCUGAACCGCAUGGUUCAGACAUAAAAGGUGGCUUCCGCUACCACUUACAGAUGGACCCGCGGCGCAUUAGCUAGUUGGUGAGGUAACGGCUCACCAAGGCGACGAUGCGUAGCCGACCUGAGAGGGUGAUCGGCCACACUGGGACUGAGACACGGCCCACACUCCUACGGGAGGCAGCAGUAGGGAAUCUUCCGCAAUGGACGAAAGUCUGACGGAGCAACGCCGCGUGAGUGAUGAAGGUUUUCGGAUCAUAAAGCUCUGUUGUUAGGGAAGAACAAGUGCCGUUCAAAUAAGGCGGCACCUUGACGGUACCUAACCAGAAAGCCACGGCUAACUACGUGCCACCAGCCGCGGUAAUACGUAGGUGGCAAGCGUUGUCCGGAAUUAUUGGGCGUAAAGGGCUCGCACGCGGUUUCUUAAGUCUGAUGUGAAGCCCCCGGCUCAACCGGGGAGGGUUUUUGGAAAC
RNAcentral lists this ribosomal RNA (594 nucleotides) under Bacillus amyloliquefaciens. Its description in RNAcentral is "bacterial SSU rRNA". It matches the Rfam family "Bacterial small subunit ribosomal RNA", at positions 56 to 633 of the family's 1533-position model. Lineage: Bacteria; Bacillati; Bacillota; Bacilli; Caryophanales; Bacillaceae. The record is from RNAcentral.